GACGAACGCUGGCGGCGUGCUUAACACAUGCAAGUCGAACGGAAAGGCCCUGCUUGCAGGGUACUCGAGUGGCGAACGGGUGAGUAACACGUGGGUGAUCUGCCCUGCACUUCGGGAUAAGCCUGGGAAACUGGGUCUAAUACCGGAUAGGAGCCAUUUUUAGUGUGAUGGUUGGAAAGUUUUUUCGGUGUAGGAUGAGCUCGCGGCCUAUCAGCUUGUUGGUGGGGUAAUGGCCUACCAAGGCGGCGACGGGUAGCCGGCCUGAGAGGGUGGACGGCCACAGUGGGACUGGGAUACGGACCAGACUCCUACGGGAGGCAGCAGUGGGGAAGAUUGCACAAUGGGCGCAAGCCUGAUGCAGCGACGCCGCGUGGGGGAUGACGGCCUUCGGGUUGUAAACUCCUUUCGCUAGGGACGAAGCUUUUUGUGACGGUACCUAGAUAAGAAGCACCGGCUAACUACGUG
This 465-nucleotide ribosomal RNA is filed under the name uncultured bacterium. Its description in RNAcentral is "partial 16S ribosomal RNA". It matches the Rfam family "Bacterial small subunit ribosomal RNA", at positions 28 to 507 of the family's 1533-position model. The record is from RNAcentral.